UACGUAGGGUGCAAGCGUUGUCCGGAAUUAUUGGGCGUAAAGAGCUCGUAGGCGGUUUGUCGCGUCUGCUGUGAAAUCCCGAGGCUCAACCUCGGGCUUGCAGUGGGUACGGGCAGACUAGAGUGCGGUAGGGGAGAUUGGAAUUCCUGGUGUAGCGGUGGAAUGCGCAGAUAUCAGGGGGAACACCGAUGGCGAAGGCAGAUCUCUGGGCCGUAACUGACGCUGAGGAGCGAAAGCGUGGGGAGCGAACAGG
This 253-nucleotide ribosomal RNA is filed under the name uncultured bacterium. RNAcentral's name for it is "partial 16S ribosomal RNA". It matches the Rfam family "Bacterial small subunit ribosomal RNA", at positions 524 to 776 of the family's 1533-position model. The record is from RNAcentral.